UACGGGGGGAGCAAGCGUUGUUCGGAUUUACUGGGCGUAAAGGGCGCGUAGGCGGCGCAACAAGUCACUUGUGAAAUCUCCGAGCUUAACUCGGAACGGUCAACUGAUACUGUGUGGCUAGAGUGCGGAAGGGGCAACUGGAAUUCUUGGUGUAGCGGUGAAAUGCGUAGAUAUCAAGAGGAACACCUGCGGCGAAGGCGGGUUGCUGGGCCGACACUGACGCUGAGGCGCGAAAGCUAGGGGAGCGAACGGG
This 253-nucleotide ribosomal RNA is filed under the name uncultured bacterium. RNAcentral describes it as "partial 16S ribosomal RNA". It matches the Rfam family "Bacterial small subunit ribosomal RNA", at positions 524 to 776 of the family's 1533-position model. The record is from RNAcentral.